RNAcentral lists this long non-coding RNA (235 nucleotides) under Pan paniscus (pygmy chimpanzee). Its description in RNAcentral is "lncRNA (ENSPPAG00000045019.1)". The record is from RNAcentral. Lineage: Eukaryota; Metazoa; Chordata; Mammalia; Primates; Hominidae.
UGUGAAAAUGUUGAAAAUCAGCUUUAUGAUGAAGUCAUUAAGACAUGACCUUUAAUGGAUGUCCAUAUGUUUUAUUGGCUUAUCAAAAAUUAUGUCCACCCAUAAUGCAUGCAGGAAGGUGGCCAAAGUCAGAAUACUUCAGUCAUCUCAGAAUGUCCUGUUUUUAUUCAAGUUUUUAAAAGUAGAAGAAAGAGGAAGUUCCCUUUUGUCAGUGAAGAACUGAGAACAACCGUGU